AAUAUGAAUGUGCCUCUUCAACUGACUCUUUAGGUGCCUUGUUUUUUGGGAAAUGGUCAAAAUAAUCUUGCUUGCUAAAGCUCUGUUUGGUUUUGAUGGAAAAUGUUCCUUCACAAGAUUUUAGACCUCAUCUGUUAAAAUCUAGAUGAUUUUUCUGCAAUUAAACAGCAGAUUCUUAUUCUUUAAUUUGAGGAAAAGAAAUGCUGUUCUGAGUUGGAAAUGACACCCAUUUCAAUUUCCCUUUGCCAAAAGGGCAGAGUGUUCUUAAAUUUGAUCCCACUCCAAUAAAUUGUUACCAGAAGCAUAAAGAAAUACUAAUGGAAUAAGAUUUAAUUUCCCCUAAGCAAGUGAGGGACCAAAAAUAUGAAUGAAAUUAUAU
This 379-nucleotide unclassified non-coding RNA is filed under the name Hevea brasiliensis (rubber tree). The record is from RNAcentral. Lineage: Eukaryota; Viridiplantae; Streptophyta; Magnoliopsida; Malpighiales; Euphorbiaceae.